Molecule: ribosomal RNA, 381 nt
Filed under: Serratia proteamaculans
Lineage: Bacteria; Pseudomonadati; Pseudomonadota; Gammaproteobacteria; Enterobacterales; Yersiniaceae
Description: bacterial SSU rRNA
Source: RNAcentral
GCUUAGUGCCUUCGGGACUGUGAGACAGGUGCUGCAUGGCUGUCGUCAGCUCGUGUUGUGAAAUGUUGGGUUAAGUCCCGCAACGAGCGCAACCCUUAUCCUUUGUUGCCAGCACGUAAUGGUGGGAACUCAAAGGAGACUGCCGGUGAUAAACCGGAGGAAGGUGGGGAUGACGUCAAGUCAUCAUGGCCCUUACGAGUAGGGCUACACACGUGCUACAAUGGCGUAUACAAAGAGAAGCGAACUCGCGAGAGCCAGCGGACCUCAUAAAGUACGUCGUAGUCCGGAUCGGYGUCUGCAACUCGACUCCGUGAAGUCGGAAUCGCUAGUAAUCGUAGAUCAGAAUGCUACGGUGAAUACGUUCCCGGGUCUUGUACACAC